AUUUUACCAGCUACACCUACACCCUCAAUUCUACUUGAAAUUAAUCUUAAAGAAAUUUUGGAUUUGCUGAUAAUUUGAGAUCAGUAAAGAUCUUCCCUGAAAGUUCUAAGCAUGUGUGCUGAGUUGGAAGGGCUGCAGAAGUGGGUCACACUCACCCAACUGGAACUCGAAAGACUCAUAGAGAGCAAGCACUGGACAAUGGCCUGGUGUCCAUGAUGUAUCCCUGCCUGUCGUUAGUAAUCCUACUGAGGGCUAAGCUGGAGAGAAAUAGUCCUUUCAGCCACAAGUCUUAAUAGUUUGCAUGAGUGUUAAUCUGCUUCUCAUAGAGUCACCAUGAAACACACCUUAGACAGAAUAAUACAAAGCUUUAACGAAGACCCCAUAAGAACUUCAUAUCUGAGUACCAUUUGCAAUCGAUUUACAAAUAAUGCCAGCAUCCUUAGCGACUUCUUCAGGCAAGGUUAUACUGGGGGUUUUUGUGGCUAAGUAGGUGAACUGGGAGUACCGCACACAGCAUGGCUUCCAGCCUGAAGUGACUGACUGUAAAACGCCAGUGAAUAGAGAGGCUCAAGACUGAGUAAAGGAUCCUGCACACUCAACAAGCUCAUCCUUCUCUGCACCCGAGAUGUUUAGAGUCCCAGUUACAGAGCUUUCAGAAGGCAGAAUUCGUCCACAGCACACUAUUGAUGCCUAUCGAAGCUAAGGAAAUUAACUAAGAAGGGAAGAAAUAAUCUCCAUAGAAAAGGGAUUUGAGAACCCAGAAGAGAGUAUGGGCCUGGCAGUGUGCAUGUUGCAAACUAUGCACCAUCACUGGCCUAAAACGCACCUCUGUGUGCAUCAUUUACUCACGUUUAAAAAUCACCCUCUACUUGUUCUCCUGUGACCCUCAUUGGACUAUAUCCAGACAGCACUGAAAGUGAUAGCCAGAAAAAGUAGAAACAACCCAUGUGUUCAUCCACUGACGAACGGAUCAAAACAUGUGGCAUGUCCAUCCAUACAAGGGGAUAUUACCCAGCAGUCAAAAGGAGCAAAGAACUGAUGCAUACCACACCAUGGCUGAUUCUCAACGGUAUGUUCAGUGAAAGAAACCAGUCAC
RNAcentral lists this long non-coding RNA (1096 nucleotides) under Pongo abelii (Sumatran orangutan). RNAcentral describes it as "lincRNA". Lineage: Eukaryota; Metazoa; Chordata; Mammalia; Primates; Hominidae. The record is from RNAcentral.